RNAcentral lists this transfer RNA (86 nucleotides) under Chloroflexota bacterium. RNAcentral describes it as "Chloroflexi bacterium tRNA-Leu". It matches the Rfam family "tRNA". From Rfam's summary of the family: Transfer RNA (tRNA) molecules are approximately 80 nucleotides in length. Their secondary structure includes four short double-helical elements and three loops (D, anti-codon, and T loops). Lineage: Bacteria; Bacillati; Chloroflexota. The record is from RNAcentral.
GCCGAAGUGGCGGAAUGGCAGACGCGCUGCGUUCAGGACGCAGUGCCCGCAAGGGCGUGGGAGUUCAAAUCUCCCCUUCGGCACCA